Molecule: long non-coding RNA, 1809 nt
Filed under: Homo sapiens (human)
Lineage: Eukaryota; Metazoa; Chordata; Mammalia; Primates; Hominidae
Description: non-protein coding lnc-TNFAIP3-1:1
Source: RNAcentral
UUUUGGGAUGUCACUACCAAUUUUUCAGGCCUUAGACAUGUAAGCAUGCAUUUCUACUUUUUUAGAUUUUGAAUCAUGUAGAAAUCUAGCCAAAUUAAUUGAGAAUACUCUAUUGAAUAAAUCAACAACUUUACUUCCAGGGUCCUGUUAACCUAAGCUAAAGAUAAAAAAGCAGCAACAAAGUGCCACUGUUAUCUGGUUAAAACUGACAACUGUAAGAUGUAUGGAUGAUUUUCUACAAGUUUAGAAACAGGAAACAGUGCUUGCUGCACUUGCCACAGGGCAUAUAAACUGAGAAAGUUAUGUAGAAAUUCAAGAUCAGAGGAUGAGCGCAAGGAUGAUCUUUGAGAACAAAACAGUGAACAGAGCCCUUUGUGGUGGCAAGCAGUGACGUGAGGUUGUGUUUAUGUGAAUACAAACCCUCUCCUCCCAAGUCUGGUGACUACAGUGUUUUCUUCCCACCUCGUUGUUAAUUGUGGAAAUCUGGCUGUCACUAUUAACAUAUCAAACAGAGGUCUUGAUAUUAUCUGCAGCUGAUCAUUUGUUUAGGUUUUACCCGCAGGAAAAGUCUGGUGGCAGCCAGUCCCAGGACAGCCACGCAUGACGCACAGAAGAGUCCUUAUAGUUCCCCUGGAGGGGGUGAUGAUGCAGGCAAAUGCCACGCCUGAUCCCUUUGGGUCUCCGUGGCAACAAGGCUGCUUGUCAGACUAGAUGAUAAUGAGCCAUGAUCUGGAAGAGGCUUAUUCCAUAACAGGAGGGAGGUUUCAAAGGUAACACGUCAACAGCAAUGCCUCGGCAACAGCUGUUUGUUAUUGUAGUCGUCAAGGACAGAAAAAGGACAAGGCUGCCAGAAGAUGUUGCAUAUGGAACAGAAGAUUCUUGCCCUGGAAGAAGGAAUAGAGGAGAUGAUACCUCCCUUCUGAACAUCUCAGCACCCCAUCAAGAGAACUUCAGGUCUCUGCCAUUUAGACGUGUCAUUUGUAAGUAAAAUAAAUCAGGGAAGUAAUAGGAGGAAAGCUAAGAAUGAAAGGAAUUCAUCACCACUGCAAAUUUGUCCCUGAAGCAAGGUGAGUCCCUGCCCAUCUGGCUACACCAGCUCUUUUUUUUUUUUUUUUUUUUUUUUUUUUUUGGCCCUUACUAGACCCCACUUGGGAUUUUGUUGGCAUAUUUGCUUGGAUGUCUAUCUCCUCUGUAGUUCCUGAGGUCAAGAUUACAGUCUCUUUUUUUUUUUUUUUAGUUUUUGUAUCUAUGGUGCCUGGCAAAGAAAAGAAGCUCCAUCAAUAUUUACCAGUUGCUGGUGGCAAUGGUAAUGGUAGUUGUGUAGAAGGUGGGAAGGAUAGAAGUAUAGCUAAGUGACGGGACAUUCUAUUUCUACACCUUGUUUAGCUAUGGAGGUCUCUGGAACUAGCCAGGCUAGCCAAGACUGGGACUUCUUGUGUCUUCUCCAAGAGAGGCAGAAUGAGCCUAAUGGUUUAGAACGUGGGCUCUGGAGCCAGACAAGCCAGAUUAGAAUCCUGACUCUACUCCAAGCAGUGUGAGCUUUGGCAAGUUACAUACCCCAUCUGUGCCUCUGUGAGGAUGAAACGAGUUCCUUAGAAUGAUGCCUGGUACCCCAGAGGAGCUAUUCAGGUUCAAUUGACUCUGUUUCUAGUAUUACUGCUCAACUUAGGAAGAAAAGAAGUGCAGAAGAGGAGAGGCUUUUGCUUCAAAUUUUGAGUUUCACAUUUAACCUUGCAGUUUUAUCCCUGGGGAGCUUCUGCCUGGAUGGAGGAUGAAUCUGGUAUCUAAGCUCCUCCUUAGGGCUGUCAU